CCUACGGGAGGCAGCAGUGGGGGAUAUUGCACAAUGGGGGGAACCCUGAUGCAGCGACGCCGCGUGGGUGAAGAAGCGCCUCGGCGCGUAAAGCCCUGUCAGCAGGGAAGAAAAUGACGGUACCUGACGAAGAAGCCCCGGCUAACUACGUGCCAGCAGCCGCGGUAAUACGUAGGGGGCAAGCUUUAUCCGGAUUUACUGGGUGUAAAGGGGGCGCAGACGGCGAUGCAAGCCAGGAGUUAAAGCCCGGGGCCCAACCCCGGGACUGCUCUUGGAACUGCGUGGCUGGAGUGCAGGAGGGGUAGGCGGAAUUCCUGGUGUAGCGGUGAAAUGCGUAGAUAUCAGGAGGAACACCGGUGGCGAAGGCGGCCUGCUGGACUGCAACUGACGUUGAGGCCCGAAAGCGUGGGGAGCAAACAGGAGUAGAUACCCUGGUAGUC
This 440-nucleotide ribosomal RNA is filed under the name uncultured bacterium. Its description in RNAcentral is "partial 16S ribosomal RNA". It matches the Rfam family "Bacterial small subunit ribosomal RNA", at positions 338 to 795 of the family's 1533-position model. The record is from RNAcentral.